CGUGUAGGAGGCGCUACAAGUUGGAUGUGAAAGCUCCCGGCUUAACUGGGAGAGGUCGUUCAAGACUGUAGAGCUAGAGUGAGGCAGAGGUAGAUGGAACUCCGGGAGUAGUGGUGAAAUGCGUAGAUAUCCGGAAGAACACCAGAGGCGAAAGCGAUCUACUGGACCUAAACUGACACUGAGACGCGAAAGCCAGGGUAGCAAACG
Molecule: ribosomal RNA, 207 nt
Filed under: uncultured bacterium
Lineage: Bacteria
Description: partial 16S ribosomal RNA
Rfam family: Bacterial small subunit ribosomal RNA
Source: RNAcentral